RNAcentral lists this transfer RNA (72 nucleotides) under Anaplasmataceae bacterium. It matches the Rfam family "tRNA". From Rfam's summary of the family: Transfer RNA (tRNA) molecules are approximately 80 nucleotides in length. Their secondary structure includes four short double-helical elements and three loops (D, anti-codon, and T loops). The record is from Rfam by way of RNAcentral. Lineage: Bacteria; Pseudomonadati; Pseudomonadota; Alphaproteobacteria; Rickettsiales; Anaplasmataceae.
GCGCCCUUAGCUCAGUGGUAGAGUGCUUGCAUGACACGCAAGAGGUCGCAGGUUCAAUCCCUGCAGGGCGCA